Long non-coding RNA from Apis florea (little honeybee), 3128 nucleotides. Lineage: Eukaryota; Metazoa; Arthropoda; Insecta; Hymenoptera; Apidae. The record is from RefSeq and is a predicted model, not a curated record.
GUAAUCGUAUCUUAUUAUUUUAUAUAAUUUUGUUAACAGCCAUCGUGACUGCAAAUGUUUUUAGUAAUUUAUUAUCAUGAAAUUUAAUACUGAACUCUUGAUAUUCUUCUCUACGCGAUUCGCGCGGUUUAUGCGCAAGACGUAUGCGCAAUUUGAUGCGCGAGACGUAUCGCGCAUUCCUUUGUCAGCCAUGUUGGAAUUUUGCGUUCUUUUCGUCCAGUUCGGUUCGGUACAUUUAGAAUCAAAUAACGACAUUUGUUUGUGAUUCAUAAUUUCAGAGAAGUUCAUAACUUUCAAGAAGUGAGUAGUGAAAAGUGAUAAACGUCAAGACGCAAACUUGAGGUUCGUUUAUAGACUCCAAUGAGAGUUCCCGCGUAAAGAUAAUAACGUGAAUCACGUUAGCUGCGUAGUUAAAUAUGUCGUAUUUUCGGUCACAAAUUUCGAGAACGAAUGUGUAUAUUUUAUCUUUAUUUUGGAAAUGCUGACGACUUUAAACGGAUAUAGGUUAAAUACACUUAAUAUCAUUACACGCAUGAACUACUACUGGCACAGCAUGUUUGCAAAGGAGAAUCUUCAUCGUGUAAAUAUUUAUCGAAUCGCGAUGAUUUGACAUCUCAUCGAAUGCGGUAAGUUUGUAACUUCUAUGAGUGCAUGAAUAUUUAUUGAAAACAUUUAAUUAAUGACACGAUUGAGUAACUCGAUUGAUUUCAAUAUUUUCGUUUAACGAAUUUAACGAAAAUAGCUUAUUAUUCAUAUUUUCGUAUAUACAUAUUAUUAUACACGGUAUUAAUCCUAUAAUACGGGAUUUAGUAUCGAGAAAAAUGUUUGUAUUUUUAAAAUUUUUUUUUCAAUUUUAUUCAAUACUAUAAAAUGAAAACAUUACAGUAUUAUUACGUCAGUAUUAUUAAAAUUUAUAUUGACCGUGUUAUAUUGACCAUAAGAACAUUAUUAUAAUUUGUGAACUAUGUUUUAUUAAAAUAAUAUUAUGUAAAUACCGUAUUAUAUUAAGAUUACCUCUAUUAUAUGGUAUUAUAUGGUAUAUUAAAAUUUCAAUCCAUUAAGCUUUUUCGGAAGCUUCCAUUGUAAUAUUCCAUUGUAAUUUAUAAAAUUUAACAUAAAUCCAAUCGUCGAGAUAUCGUAAGAUUAUCGAUUCAAUUCAUUUCUUUGAUCGUUCAUAAUUUCGUCAUCGGAAGCAAAUCUCGAGAUCGACGAUCGUGUAUUCGUCGACAUAAAAGCAAGCUUCCUUUUUCCAGGCAAGUGGAAAACGAUCGUAGGAACGUAGUCGCACGUGCUAGAAAUGUCGACUUUCUCAGCUGUUCGUUGUGCCGGCAUAAAGAGAAACUAUUAGCCCGCCCGUGGCGUCGCGACGACCUGGAUUAAUUUAGAAAUUUAAUUAACAAAACCGUAAGCGCUCUUUCCUUCAGUCUCGCACCCCAUUCUUCCCUCUGUUGUCAUUUUGCUCUCACGAUUUUUACACAUUCAUUCGACGGAAUUAAAAAUAAGAUGUUCUCGUCCGUAAUUUUUAUCGUAAUUAAACAUAUCUUGUGUAUUUCAUUCGAACGCCACGAAAACGCGUCGUGAACGUCGUCCAAUACGAAAAAUCCUUUUCGAUACGAUAUAAAAUCAGCCUCGGCAUAAAUUUGAUCAAUCGAACACAGGUGAUCGCUAACUUAUUUUACGAUUGCCAUAAUAAAAGUGUCGACGUCUGGACACGGUCUCGAACAUCUCUCGUUUUUCUCGUUUUUUAUUUAUCUUACCGUUCGAAUCGAUGUUCCGAGCUGCGAAAAAAUCAUGUCUGCGCUACGAACACGGGCGGCACAAUAGAAACAGAAUAUUUAGAUUAAAACGCAAACUCGUUACGUAACUAUACAAACGAGCUCGUGCGGUAAAUCACGUCCACUCGGUUCUCUUUAUCCUGCUGCCAUCCUUCAUGCUUGCUCGCUGGAAAAUCGAACCGAAUAAAAAACUCGACGCCCUCCUUGAUUCUCCCGAUCUCUCAGUGGAAGCGUUGAUUUAUCGCGGCAAUCUUCGGAAAGCAAACACGGAGGAUCGCGAGCAAUGCUCGCAAAUGAGUAAAACGUUUCGCGGCCGCGAGAUCUGUAACGAAGAAUAAUUGAAAUGGCGUGAGAGCCUAGGGUAUGGACUGUAGCAGGUAUACGCGACUCGUCUCUCCUCGAUCCUCCUAUACACGCGACGCCGGCCAAUCUCUCGACGUAUAUAUCUGCCGGGGUUACGCUCUUCCUAACGAUUUUUCGAUAUCGGUAAGCGAUGCGUUUUUAUCCGUACCGCGAUGGAAACGUUCGAACGUUGCAGACAAUCUGCCGGAUAACGCUUAACUGUCCCCCCCACGUAGCUAGAAUAAUCGGCCGAUUUUUAUGUCCCAUUCGUCGUGGCGCCGCGUUUCAAGCGGGAAUUUAUGAAAACGUUUAUGAAGUCAUAGGGUUCAGAAGGUUGGGAGAAAGAGAGAGAAAAGAGCAUAAGAUAUUCACGACGAGAAUGCGAUGUUACGUUCUAAUCCUUCCAAAUGGGAGGAUCCCACGAUUGUCGGAGGUUGCUUUAUUUCGCGCACGAAUUGUUUCUCUACUUUUCGAUUGCCUUUGUGCUUUAUUUCUCUAUUACGAUUUUUUUUCCUCGAUAUAUAUAUUUUUUUAUUCGAACAAUUAAUUACGUACCUAAAUACCUUUUCUGAGAUAUUCCUCUCUAUUUGUUUUUACGGUUUACAUAUUAUAAUCUCUCUUCAUAAAAUUCAAGACAACCGAUUGAAAUUCACCUGUGAACCAAUUCACAGUGAAUCAAUCGCGGACUUCACGGCUCUCCUCGCUCAAGGGUGAACGGUCGGUUAUUCACAGCGAUUCACAGCCAAGCGCGUAACACGUUCGCGCGUUGAUCCCCCUUUGAUGCGCUUGAAUCGAUCAACGUUGCGUACGUGAACCGCGUGCAGGUAAAACGCGGCGUGUAACGUUGGACGAAAAUUCCAUAACGGAACGCGAAUAAUCGUGCGCAAAGGAACACGAAUAAUUUUAUAUCCGGCCAGUUUCGUGUCGGGCCAUGGAUAUCGACGGUAAAACCGUAAUAUACAGCCGGAUGAUAUUUUAUUUCAUCGAAAAUUACGUAAUUCUCAGCGUGUU